CUGGCUCAGGAUGAACGCUAGCUACAGGCUUAACACAUGCAAGUCGAGGGGCAGCAUUGGAGUAGCAAUACUUCAGAUGGCGACCGGCGCACGGGUGAGUAACACGUAUCCAACCUGCCGCUUACUCGGGGAUAGCCUUUCGAAAGAAAGAUUAAUACCCGAUGGUAUAAAGAGUUCGCAUGUUCUCUUUAUUAAAGAAUUUCGGUAAGCGAUGGGGAUGCGUUCCAUUAGAUAGUUGGCGGGGUAACGGCCCACCAAGUCUACGAUGGAUAGGGGUUCUGAGAGGAAGGUCCCCCACAUUGGAACUGAGACACGGUCCAAACUCCUACGGGAGGCAGCAGUGAGGAAUAUUGGUCAAUGGACGAGAGUCUGAACCAGCCAAAGUAGCGUGAAGGAUGACUGCCCUAUGGGUUGUAAACUUCUUUUAUAAGGGAAUAAAGUGAGGGACGUGUCCCUUUUUGUAUGUACCUUAUGAAUAAGGAUCGGCUAACUCCGUGCCAGCCGCCGC
This 508-nucleotide ribosomal RNA is filed under the name uncultured bacterium. RNAcentral's name for it is "bacterial SSU rRNA". It matches the Rfam family "Bacterial small subunit ribosomal RNA", at positions 19 to 518 of the family's 1533-position model. The record is from RNAcentral.